GUGGCUGAGCAGCUGCUCUCCGAGUCUGCAGGAGCCUGAGACGCUGUAACUCCUCUGAGGACAACAGAGACGACAGGAGGAGGACGGCGUCGCCUGCAUCUUGUCCGCGAUGAUGUCAUCGGUGCUGCCGUCCAGGCUGCGUCCCCCCCGGCCGGCGACAGGUGUGUAUCCCUCGGUGAGUGUGUAGGGGUCUGCGUACGCGUCGUCGUGGCGAUGGUGCGUGUAGAGGUUGCGGGGUGUGUGUGAGGUGAGCAGCAGUAAGUGUCGCUCCGCUCGGUCGGCUCGCUCCAACAGCGUCUCAAUAAACACCUGAAACGACAAA
Plectropomus leopardus (leopard coralgrouper) is the source of this 322-nucleotide non-coding RNA. Lineage: Eukaryota; Metazoa; Chordata; Actinopteri; Perciformes; Serranidae. The record is from RefSeq and is a predicted model, not a curated record.